Molecule: non-coding RNA, 4201 nt
Organism: Podarcis lilfordi (Lilford's wall lizard)
Lineage: Eukaryota; Metazoa; Chordata; Lepidosauria; Squamata; Lacertidae
Source: the annotation of a GenBank genome assembly
AUAAGGCAAGGGCAUAAACGAUGUUCUACUGGGGUUUUUGUGAAUCUACCGGUCAGAUAUGCAGUUGGCAGUGUUUGAAACCGUGCCAUAGUGAAAGCUCUCCGAAGGGUGGGGUCAGUGAUCUCCACCAAGUAGUUGGCACAGAUUUUGACUGCGUUUACUCGGGAAACCAGUAGGAAAACCCAGAGUUUUUUAUCUUUGUGGAGUCCAAAAGGCGUCUUUUCAAAGAUCCAUUCCCGAACUUUAUCAGGGCUCCACAAUUUAAGGGUAUUAAACUCAGGUAGAUUGUAUCUGGAUAGGAUAUCUAGUAGGUUUUUAUGCCAAGUAGUAUUAUUUUGUAAUAAUACAAAGGCUUGUUUAGCCAAUAAGGUGUUCGGGGCAUCUGUGAGGUUGGUGAAAACGCAGGAAUCUUAAGUGGGCCCUGGCAGACACAGAAGGUAAUCCUACUUCCACUCUUAGGAGAGCUGCCGGAGUACUCUGAGGGAGGCCUAGAAUUCUUCUGAGGUAAAAAUUUUGGAAGAUUUCAAGCCGUUCUAACAGCUUCUGAUUCCAUCCCCAGAGUUCUACUCCAUAUAGCAUCUGGGGAAUCACUUUUCCAACAAAAGCUUUUAAUGCCGGGAUCACCAGUUGCCCUCCCCUCGAAUAAAAAAGCUGAGCAGGGCACCGAUUGUCCUACGUGUUAGAAGGGCUACAGUCUUGAAGUGGGCAAGCCAGCUAGAUGUAGCUUGGAAAGUGAUACCAAGAUAUUUAAAAAGAAGACACUGUUCAAUUUUAUGUUCAUCUAAAGACCAUCUAAAUGUGUGGCGAGCUCUAGUAAAUACCACAAUUUUUGUUUUGUCAUAAUUUAUCUUUAGAGAGUUUUGGGAACAAUAAGCUGCGAGCCCCUCCAGCAUGCUAUGUAGGCCCCUUCGAGUAAGUGCCAUGACAGCCAUGUCAUCAGCAUAUAGUAAUAUAUUCAGGUGUUUGCCUUCCAGGGCAGGAGCUGAUGACUUAUACUUUGCCAUAUGUUGAACAAUGUCAUUUAUAUAGAAAUUAAAGAGGAACGGCGCUAACAAACAGCCCUGUUUAACCCCUUUCCCCAGUGGCAGUGGAUCAGUAUAGUUGCCUGACAUCCCAGUUCUGAUUUUAACUGUGGUGUCUGGAAUGUAACUCUCUAAGUAUUUUGAGAAGUCGUCUAUCAAUAUCUGUUUCAUAUAAUUUUUGCCAUAAUUUGUCCCUACAGAUUGAAUCAAAAGCGGAUGUGAGAUCUACGAAAGCCACAAAAAGUUUGCUCUUAUGUACUUUUGUAUACUUAUCUAUCAUUGUCUGUAGUACCAAACAAUGGCCUGUUGUACUAUGGCCCUUUCUAAACCCUGCCUGUUCCGGAUUAAGCAGGUUAGAGUGGUCAGCCCAGUCAACCAGUUUAUUUAGCAGGUAGCGAGUGUAAAGUUUAUACACAAUGUCCAGGAGACUUAUGGGGCGAUAGUUUGAGGGGUCUUGGGGGUCUCCUUCUUAUAGAUGGGGGCUACCAGGCUCAGUUUCCAGUUUUCUGGGAUUUUGCAUAUAUCAUUUAUUACCGUAAAAGUUGGGCCAAAAUAGCAGCCCACCACUGGGCAUUUAGUUUAAAUACCUCAGGAGGAAUCAUAUCCUCACCGGGAGCUUUGCCAUUCUUGAGUGUUUUAAUUAGCUGUAAACAUUCUGAUUCGGUAACAGGAUCCCAGCCCUUUAAUAGAUCGUUUUUAAGAGGAGGAAACUGGCUCGGUUUAGCAAUGUUUGGAGCUGUAUAUAGCCGGGAAAAGUGUUGGUACCAUAAGUUAGAUGAGAUACUGUUGGUUACAAUUUUCCCUUUGGGUGAAACUCCCUGGGCAAUUAUUUCCCAGAACUUUUUGUCAUCCCGCAAUUUGAUCGCUUUGUCAAGUGCCUCCCAUUGUUCCUUUCUGUAGAGGGAUUUCUUAAAUUUUAGAGUAUUUUUAUAAUGAGAACGCCACCUGUGCAGGUUUUCCAAUGAGGACAAGGUCCCUUCCUGUUUUACCUUAUUUUGUAGUUUCCUGAGCAAGGAUCUUAGAUUCCUACAGUCUUUGUCGAACCAGGCCCUCGAGUUGUUUUGUUUUUUGGGAGGGUUGGAAUUCGUGAGUAGUGGGAAGAGCGACUCUGAGACCUGCUGAAAUGUUGAAAAGGGGUCAGAAAUGGAUGAGAUGCACUGGUCUCUCAAGGCCAGUAAGUCUGAUGAAUGCAGGUGUAAUUUGAUUUUAGAUUCCAGGUCGCUGUUCCAUUUACGCCUACGAAGGGCCAGGGUUGGAGGUGGGUCUGCACAGUGAUUGCGGUAUUGCGGAUCCUCCACACCACGGGGAAUUAGUGAAAUUGAUAUAGGAAGAUGAUCACUCUCAAUUCUAUUGAAAGUCCUGAAGCCCUGUGACCUCUCCAAGAGUUUUGGGAGACCAGGAUAUAAUCAAUAACGCUCGCACCUCUGGGUCCAAGAAAAGAAAAGAAACCCCCUGACCUGUCCAUAUGGGUACCAUGCAAAUUAUACAAAUUAUGUUUGAAGGCAGUCUCCAUUAAUGUAAUGCCUGCCUUAUUCAAGACCUUAUCGUCUGAGGACCAGGGAAUAAACCAAUCUGCCUCUGGCAGGAACUGAGAUUUAGAGCAAUACGUAUUAAUGUCAUUUCCUAUCCUGGCGUUGAAAUCACCUGCCAGCAGGAUAUCCAUGCCAGGAAAUUCUAGUUCAGCCUUCUCCAAACAUAGCUCUAAAUCUUCCCAGAAUUGUGACGACUGGGGAGGGGUGCCUAUGGGAGGGAUAUAUAUAUUAAAGCAAAGGAAAUCUCCUCCUUCACUGCUAGAAAUAAGUGUGAUUUGUAAAUUGUUACUCUUCACCCACUGCUGUUGCCGGGCCUUGCAUUUUAGCUUGGUAGAAACAAAAGUGACUAAACCACCACUAGGUCGGCCUCGGGAUUUUGGUUUUAUCGCAGGGGUAGCAAAAGCUUCGUAUCCCUGUAAAGAGGGGACAUGGAGAUCUAGACACCAUGUCUCCUGUAGACAUAAAAUCUGAAAUUUUGUAAGGAAAUCCAGAAGGUCGACGUCACCCUGCUUAGAUAGCCAUCCCGCCACAUUCCAGGAUAGAAUGUGGAAAUAGGGUGAUGGUGGAAAUAGUGGCAGUCAAUCUCUUUUCCGAUGGUUUGAGGCUCCUGAGCUGGGCUCCUCCUCUAUCUGCCCUGCUUGGUGGUUCCGGGUUUGAGAUCGCUGGUCCCUAGAUAGGUAUGAUAACUUUAACUGAGGGGCCAAUAGGUUGAUUUGGCCCAGAGGAUCUUCGAUGACACCGUUACAAAUAUCAUGUUGUUCAGCUGAUGUAUCAUGAUGUUCAGCUGGUUUUCGCAAAGCAAGGAUUUUGCCGACCCGUAUAGGCUGUAUAGGUAGCAGGUCGACAACUGCAUCUUGCGUCGGUACUGCUAGCGGGUCAAAAUUUGACAAAAGCUGUGGAUCUUGAUUGCGUAUUGGGCUUAGAAUAAUGGAAGCCUCCAAUUCCGGCAUCGAGGCAUAUGAGGACGAGAGCAUUUCAGACUGGUCUUGCUUGGGUAGCCCAAUGCCAGGCUCAUUGCACGUAGAGACCAGGGUACCAAGCGGGGGAUGUAGGAAAUCAAUUAAGUCAUUUGCGGGCAGGCCUGCCACUCCCUGUGGGGUAAUAGAUCCCGGCUCCAUCUAUUUGUUCUUUAUGGCGCACAGGCCCAGCAUCAACACCGACAGCACCUAUCCUGGUGCAUAGCGGUGUACGGGUCAGAUUGGUGAAAACCCUUGUAAAAUAGAUGUACCAUUUUCUUGUGCGGUUUCUUAAUUUUAGAAUCUUUGCAACGAAAUGGGCAGAUCUAAAGUUAAUAACCAUACGUCUCAUAUAAGGUCCAGAAGGCAGCCAUGAGAUGUUCACGAUAUCUACGGGGCGUAAUGUCUGCCCCAGCAGUUGGGUCAGGGAAUUUGUGACCGAAUGUUUAUCCGCCCAUUUGUUAUAAUUCAAGGGGUGGUUUCCCACCAGUACUGCAAGUUUGCUGUUCUGGAGUUGCAGACUUGAGUUUUGUACUUGGUUGGGCAGGCAUCUCACUUGUUUUUGUGCAAGGUUGGCCUGCGCACUUGGGCAGGGGUGAGCGGAGUUUGCAAUGUUGUUAAGCUGAAGGAGUGAGGGGGGGCAACUGAACAAGCCAAAGGCUUUUUCAAGCUUCUUUUCGAUCCCAUCCAG